UGGGGGAUAACGUUCCGAAAGGAACGCUAAUACCGCAUACGUCCUACGGGAGAAAGCAGGGGACCUUCGGGCCUUGCGCUAUCAGAUGAGCCUAGGUCGGAUUAGCUAGUUGGUGAGGUAAUGGCUCACCAAGGCGACGAUCCGUAACUGGUCUGAGAGGAUGAUCAGUCACACUGGAACUGAGACACGGUCCAGACUCCUACGGGAGGCAGCAGUGGGGAAUAUUGGACAAUGGGCGAAAGCCUGAUCCAGCCAUGCCGCGUGUGUGAAGAAGGUCUUCGGAUUGUAAAGCACUUUAAGUUGGGAGGAAGGGCAUUAACCUAAUACGUUAGUGUUUUGACGUUACCGACAGAAUAAGCACCGGCUAACUUCGUGCCAGCAGCCGCGGUAAUACGAAGGGUGCAAGCGUUAAUCGGAAUUACUGGGCGUAAAGCGCGCGUAGGUGGUUCGUUAAGUUGGAUGUGAAAGCCCCGGGCUCAACCUGGGAACUGCAUCCAAAACUGGCGAGCUAGAGUACGGUAGAGGGUGGUGGAAUUUCCUGUGUAGCGGUGAAAUGCGUAGAUAUAGG
This 568-nucleotide ribosomal RNA is filed under the name Pseudomonas sp. Fe13. RNAcentral's name for it is "bacterial SSU rRNA". It matches the Rfam family "Bacterial small subunit ribosomal RNA", at positions 137 to 700 of the family's 1533-position model. The record is from RNAcentral. Lineage: Bacteria; Pseudomonadati; Pseudomonadota; Gammaproteobacteria; Pseudomonadales; Pseudomonadaceae.